GGAUGUUGCGCACACAACACAUGGGUGAGGGGCUCUUGCUGUGAUGUUUCGUCUCACCCCACAGCCUUCACCCCACAGCCUCUGGGGGUCAGUUGUUUUUUCAAACACGCCACGUGACGCCACCACACGCCGCCCUGAUUCAUUUGGAGGUCACAAUAUCCCAAUGUGUCAGAAUGUCUCGACGACGCCGGGGUUAUGGGGGAUGCAUUUGCAAUACGUCCAAAGCAUGAUAUACACGUCGGGUGCAUGCAAUGUGGUAUGGGAUGUGGGGUACGUUUAGAUUCUUUAUAUGGGACAGAGGGCGCAAAGGGUCGUCCAGCUGUGGAGGGCUGGAGAGAGGUGCCGUGGGGGACUCUUUUUAACAUCUUUUACACAAACGCUUUUGUGGCGUUUUUGUGGGUAGGAAUGCAUGUGUUUUGUCUUCUCCCACUUGUGGUGGUGUAAGUUGUUUU
Molecule: long non-coding RNA, 452 nt
Filed under: Volvox carteri
Lineage: Eukaryota; Viridiplantae; Chlorophyta; Chlorophyceae; Chlamydomonadales; Volvocaceae
Description: long non-coding RNA (VCAR_LNC003962)
Source: RNAcentral